This 468-nucleotide ribosomal RNA is filed under the name uncultured bacterium. RNAcentral's name for it is "partial 16S ribosomal RNA". It matches the Rfam family "Bacterial small subunit ribosomal RNA", at positions 28 to 507 of the family's 1533-position model. The record is from RNAcentral.
GACGAACGCUGGCGGCGUGCUUAACACAUGCAAGUCGAACGGAAAGGCCCUGCUUUUGUGGGGUUCUCGAGUGGCGAACGGGUGAGUAACACGUGAGUAACCUGCCCUUGACUUUGGGAUAACUUCAGGAAACUGGGGCUAAUACCGGAUAGGGUCUCCUGCUGCAUGGUGGGGGUUGGAAAGUUUCGGCGGUUGGGGAUGGACUCGCGGCUUAUCAGCUUGUUGGUGGGGUAGUGGCUUACCAAGGCUUUGACGGGUAGCCGGCCUGAGAGGGUGACCGGCCACAUUGGGACUGAGAUACGGCCCAGACUCCUACGGGAGGCAGCAGUGGGGAAUAUUGCACAAUGGGCGGAAGCGUGAUGCAGCAACGCCGCGUGCGGGAUGACGGCCUACGGGUUGUAAACCGCUUUCGCCUGUGACGAAGCGUGAGUGACGGUAAUGGGUAAAGAAGCACCGGCUAACUACGUG